Molecule: ribosomal RNA, 208 nt
Filed under: uncultured bacterium
Lineage: Bacteria
Description: partial 16S ribosomal RNA
Rfam family: Bacterial small subunit ribosomal RNA
Source: RNAcentral
CUCGUAGGCGGUUCGAUUAGUCGGGUGUGAAAUCUCCACGCUCAACGUGGAGGGGCCACUCGAUACUGUCGUGACUCGAGUCCGGUAGGGGAGUGCGGAAUUCCCGGUGUAGCGGUGAAAUGCGCAGAUAUCGGGAGGAACACCAGUGGCGAAGGCGGCACUCUGGGCCGGAACUGACGCUGAGGAGCGAAAGCGUGGGGAGCGAACA